UAUAACUCACUUCCAUAAAAUAAUAAUGACACUGAUUUAUUUUACAAAACCUUUUCUUUUAUAUAGAUGAGGUUUUUUUUUAUCUAAGCACAACAACGACAAAAAUAAUAUGAUGUAAUUAUGCUAAGAUAAGCAAAACUAAGCCCAGGAAAGAAUAAUAAAAUAUGCAAAGAAGAAGGUUUGGCUUGAAAAUUGUUACUCAGAAGAAGCAAGAAGGCCGUCUUAAAGGGGGAAAAGUGUUUUAUUCAAAAAAGAACAUACAAAGAUUGAACGAGAAGUUGGUUUGAAAGCUUGUAUUAGGGCCUGUUUGUUUCUCCAUUUGAAUGAGUCAUUUGGAUGAAGAUGAGAGUUUUGUUUGUUUAGACACUAAAAUUGCAACUCAUUCAGAUGGAUCAUCUAGAUGACUUUUGGAAAUUUAGGCUUAAUUUUCAAGUCCAUUCAGCUGAACCAAUUUGGAUCAUUUGAAUGGAGAUGGUUCAUUCAAAAUGGUAUAAUGUCUAUUAUGCCCCUAAUGUAAUUCACAGAUUACAAACCUAAACAUAAUAUCAUUUUUGUCACAUACGAAAACUGACAAAACUACAAAAACCCCAAAAACGCAAUUUCCCGCCAAAAUUGCAAAAACCACGUUUUCCCGUUAAAACUGCAAAAAACGUAUUUUCCACCAAAACAAAAAACGAGUUUUCCCGUUAAAACCGAAAAAUCUCGUUUUCCCACCAAAAUCGAAAAAUCUCGUUUUCCGACCAAAACUGCAAAAACGCGUUUUUCCGCCAAAAACGUGUUUUCCCGCCAAAACCGCAAAAACGCGUUUUCCUGCCAAAAACGUAUUUUCCCGCCAAAACCGCAAAAACGUGUUUCCCCGCCAAAACCGCAAAAACGUGUUUUUCCGCUAAAACCGCAAAAACGUGUUUUCCCGCUAAAACCGCAAAAACGUGUCUUCCCGCCAAAACCGCAAAAAUGUGUUUUUCUGCUAAAACAGCAAAAACGCGUUUUCCCGCCAAAACCGCAAAAAACGCGUUUUCCCGCCAAAACCGCAAAAAUGUGUUUUUCUGCUAAAACGGCAAAAACGCGUUUUCCCGCCAAAACCGCAAAAAACGCGUUUUCCCGCCAAAACCGCAAAAAUGUGUUUUUCUGCUAAAACGGCAAAAACGCGUUUUCCCGCCAAAACCGCAAAAAACGCGUUUUCCCGCUAAAACCGCAAAAACGCGUUUCCCGCCAAAACCGCAAAAAUAUAUUUUUUCACCAAAACCGCAAAACGCGUUUUCCCACCAAUAACGAAAGAUCUCGUUUUCUCGCCAAAACCGAAAAAUUCCGUUUUCCCGCGAAAAUCGCAAAAACGUGUUUCCCUUCAAAACCGCAAAAAAUGCGUUUUCCCGCCAAAAACGUCAUUUUCCGCCAAAACCGCAAAAAACGUGUUUUCUCGCCAAAACAAAAAAAUCUCGUUUUCCCGCCAGAACCGAAAAAUUGUGUUUUUCCGCCAUAACCGAAAAAUGUGCUUUCUCGCUAAAACCAAAAUUUUUUUUUUCCGCCCAAACCGCAAAAAGGAACGUUAAUUUUGAAAUAAUUCUAAUGUAAAUAUAUUAAACUCAAUAAUUAAAUGUACUAUAGUUAAAAUUAAUAUCAAACAUAUGAUUAAACCAAUACAAGGGUAUUUUGGUGAUUUGUUUACUAAACUCAUUUGAAUGGAAAUGAAAAUAAAAAAACAAACAUAAAAUCCAUUUAGAUGAUUCAUCUAGAUGAGCCAUCUGGAUGAACAAACAAACAAUCACAAAAAUCUGAAUGGAUCAUUUGAAUAGAUCAUACAAAUGAAUCAUUUGGAUGGAGAUGACAAAUGGUGAAACAAACAGCCCCUUAGUACAUACUUUUUAUAAUUCCAAGCUCUUUUCUCAUCGUAGUAAUAUCCAGUCUUGCUUCUUUGAG
Molecule: long non-coding RNA, 1917 nt
Filed under: Brassica napus (rape)
Lineage: Eukaryota; Viridiplantae; Streptophyta; Magnoliopsida; Brassicales; Brassicaceae
Description: long non-coding RNA (BNAP_LNC005017)
Source: RNAcentral